This 602-nucleotide long non-coding RNA is filed under the name Helianthus annuus (common sunflower). Its description in RNAcentral is "hypothetical non coding rna". Lineage: Eukaryota; Viridiplantae; Streptophyta; Magnoliopsida; Asterales; Asteraceae. The record is from RNAcentral.
UUUCUUCUCUUCUUCUCUCUAUAUGUUGGUGUUCUAACCAAUAAUCACCGAUACGAUAUUCUGUCCGACCGAUCCGAGAACUAACUAACAAAUGCUAAAUUGCUGACUGUAUAAAACUAUACUUUGUUGACUUACGUUAUGGUUCUGAUCUCGUGACCAUCAUUUGGUUUGAUCUGGUUUUACACUAAUACGUAUUCUACUCUGUUAAACUAUAUGUUUAACUAUCCAAAAGUUCAAAACUAUAACCUUACUAUCAAACAAGAUGUUUAAUCAUCAGAAGAUUCAGAACUAUAAAAGUAGAUGCUUAGUUAUCAGAAGACUUAGAAUCAGGAGGCUUGUUUAAUCAAGACUAUAUGCAACAAGUGAUUAAGUCUUUGUAUUCUGCAAUUACUGCCGAUAUGUGGGGUUUUGUAUACACUACUUGAUAAGCUUCACUAUUGGACAACGGGUUAGCCAAUGUGUGAUAUGACCAUAGUCACAGAUCCAGUCGAGUGACAAAUACCGAUUUGGGGUAAUUGGUUGAUAUAAACAUUGUAAUCUCUCUUAAUACUGUAAAUUAUAACAAAUGUAUUUUUGUAAAACUGAAUGAACUCACCAGUAUU